GUCUAUGGCCAUGCUACCCUGAACAAGCCCGAUCCCAUCUGAUCUUGGAAGCUAAGCAGGGUCGGGCCUGGUUAGUGCUUGGAUGGGGAAGACCAGGUGCCGUAGGCG
RNAcentral lists this ribosomal RNA (108 nucleotides) under Pteropus alecto (black flying fox). The record is from RNAcentral. Lineage: Eukaryota; Metazoa; Chordata; Mammalia; Chiroptera; Pteropodidae.